Podarcis raffonei (Aeolian wall lizard) is the source of this 888-nucleotide long non-coding RNA. RefSeq lists it as uncharacterized. Lineage: Eukaryota; Metazoa; Chordata; Lepidosauria; Squamata; Lacertidae. The transcript is spliced from 3 exons. The record is from RefSeq and is a predicted model, not a curated record.
CUGACCAGGAUCCUGAAGCUGCCCAGGAGCAGUGGAGCAGUAUAGAUUUGGAGCAGUGGUUUGCAGAGGGACAUAGUUCGGAAGACAACAGCUGGGCAGAACUGAGUGGGGAACAGUAGGAGAAGAUGAACAGGGAGAAAGAGAAUUAACAGACUCCCUUUCAUUGGAAAGUGUCCAACCGAUCAGUCCAAAGUCAAGGAGAGCAGAUAAGGAAUGAGCUAAUCAGCUACCUCAGAUGAUAACGGAAAUGCUAUAGAAUCAUACAGCAGGCAGCAAGGUUCAAAUAGCUCCUUGAAGAAUGAGUCAUUUUAAUAACUUUUGAGAAUUUCCACCUCCAGCACUUUCAGAUCUCAGGUGCUUACUGCGUAGAGAAUUCUUCUAUACCGCUGGGAAACAAGUUCUGACUCAGAGAGGGCACCACUGCAGUCAGGGAGCCGGAACAAAUGAGUGCUACUUUUCUGCAGAAUUAGCUAAAGGCUACAUUUGAUACGUGCAAACAGGUAACUUUAGGAGGUUUCUUUUUAAAAAAGAUAUCUCCCACCGGGAUUCCCCCCACCCAUCCAUUCCAUCACGUUUUCAACAUCAGUCAGCCAUGGAAAGCUUGCUUUAUAGACUCCAUGUGCCUUGCUCACAUUUUUGAGCAUCAAUCAGAAGACAAGAAGAAAACCCCCGCCAAUCAUCAACUGCAACAAACAGCAAAUCUGCAGGGCAAUUUGUACAGCCAGCCUUGAAUUGUUUCUUCCAGUUAAAAUCGUUACCAGCUAAUGCCUCAGAGAGUUUAUGUGGCUGCAUUGUGUUAACAAAGUUCAUAUAAUACCCUUCCUUCCUCCCUCCCUCCCUCCCCCCUUCCUUCCUUCCUUCCUUCCUUCCUUCCUUCCUUCCUUCCUU